Molecule: long non-coding RNA, 5560 nt
Filed under: Gallus gallus (chicken)
Lineage: Eukaryota; Metazoa; Chordata; Aves; Galliformes; Phasianidae
Source: RNAcentral
GGCGGGAAUUGCGCGUCCCGGUAUGCACCGUGCUCCGUGGCGAGACGGGCCUAUAAUGUGGCCCUCACGGUUCGGGUUCGUUUGUUUCAGAAGCUCGUUAAAGUUCGUUGUGUUAGGUGCGCGAAUCUCGCGGUUGUUCUGGAGCAGCACGACGUGCCUCAGACCGUAAGGUCCCGCCUACCGUGCAGUGAGUCGUUCACAGCUGCAGAAGGGAAAUCCCAACGACGUGAGUGAUUUUAUUUCAAAGCACAUGCCCUGGCCUAGCCCAUGCUUGCACCCAAGAGGCAGCGAGGAGAGAAGCACCAACCACAGCCUCAUCACUCCCACACGCCCAUGAGUUGCCUUCUUUCUGCUUAAUGAGUGACUACAGAACAGGCACAAAAGGCACUUGGCCUUCCCAAGUUCACAGCAGAUCCUUUAGGAAGGAUGGCUAACGCUGAGCAGUACUGAGCAGCAGCAAGUGUACAACUGGGACUGAAAUAACUCUGCUCAUGCCAGAAGAGAGCAAAGCUGUAACAUACACAGUUUGAGAACUUUUGACGUGGGAAAAGCUAUGCUUUUAUAAUUCUAAACGAAACAUACAUAAAACGGCAUUUUCAACACUAGUGGUGGUUAGUCCAGGCCAUCUGCCAAUGGGAGCAUGAUGAAGAAAACCACAAAUAAGCUGGAGGAUGUGAAACAACAACACAACAUUUAUAUUCUAUUACUGUUGAAAAACAGGGACAGAAAGUAUAGAGAAACUGUCUUUGGCAUUUGCUUCCUUUAAACAAAAAGUUACUUACCUUAACUUUUGCUUAUAAAUGCACUUUUCAUCUGCUGGGGGAAACACUGCUCAGAGAGGGCCCCCAAAAAAUCCAAUUCAGUGGUUUUCGCUUUAUUCCUUCACCCAUGAGGUUGGGGUAACUCUCACCACCCCGGUCAGCCCAGUUGGAAGCCAGUGUGCACCCUCCUUCAUGUAACCCAGUUCAGAGAGAACGAACAAGCAUUAGAUUUAAGCUGCCCCAUUUCUGCAUUUGCUCUACGCAGAGCUCAGGGCAGAGAGCCAAUGCUGUCUUUGUGUGUACAAAAAUAACUGAGCCCUGACUUUUCCUCUUAGAUCCUGGCAAGGAAGGUUAGGAAUUCACUCACCUACAGCAAAGUUGUGCCCCUUUAACAGCCCCUCCAGGACUGUGUUUGCCUGUCCUGUGGGACAGGUGAUGCGUGAGAUUUCAUUUCAUUUUCUCAAGACGUGACAUUUUUGUUGGCUCGUGGAAGGGGAAGAUAUCUCAUGCCCCACUACAGAUCUUUGCAUGCAUGAGCACAACCGAGGGCAGACAAAGCCUCUGCGUUCCCAGGAGACCCUGUGAAGUGGGAUGUACUGUGAGGGGGGACAAGACUCCCCGAGAAGUGUCUAUCAUGAAGGAAGAGCGAUCAUUUUGGGAAGAGCAGGUGUUCUGGGCCUCUUCUACAGUGCCUGAAUCAUCUGGGACACAGGCAGAUCCCUGCACUAUGGAACAGGGAAGAAAAAUGGCACUGAGCUCUCAUGUAGUUGCUGCAGUUUGGAAUCUGAUGACCUUCACUGAUCAUGUUCAUCAAAACACACUUUGAAUUAAAUUACAGUAAAUCCAGUGAAGACCCUUUUCAUGCUAAUUGAGUAUGCAUGGACCACUCUGAUUCAAAUUCAGUGUAAAGGCGCUUAAUAGCUCACUUCAUACUCACAUUUUUAAGACACUAUAAAAAAACCUUGAAAACACAACACAAACAUAACUAAGUGUUCUCAGACAAGGGGGUCUCCCAGAAUAAUGCAAAGUAAGUUUAUCUAUGGAGGUGUUUGAGGAAAGGGUGGGUGCAGUACUUAGGGACAAGUUUUAGUGGGCAGCAUUGGUGCUAGGUGAACAGCUGGACUGGAUGAUCUUAAAGGUCUUUUCUAAGCCUACUGAUUCCAUGAUUCUAUGAUUCUAUGAACGUAAAACAUCAGGAUUUUCUAAGCUACUACAUAAAGCUAAGGAAAUGCCAUCUAGAAAUGUCUUGCUCACUACAGAAGCUGUAACUGCUGAGUGCACAACGCAGACAUCAGAGCAAAGAUCCCAGCUAUGGGCCCUCCACAUGCCCUCCUGACUCAUCACAGUCUUCCUGCUAACCGGGGCAUGAGGCACUGCCUACAGCAGAGAUCAAAGCAGGGCCAGAGCUGGGCAAAUGGGCUGAGAGACAAAAAAGCCACAAAUGGAGCUGCACACUUACUAAUGAAAGCCAGGGCUUUGCAGGCAUCAGGGCAAAAUGACCACAAUGGGAUGGCAAAAAGCUGGUUCUUCCUGAUUUACCGAACUUGAUGAGGGAGAGUCAUGUGUGGAAGGGGGGUCUCUUGUUGGGGUGAGCCAGAUGCAGGGUGAUCCAGUGGCAGCCAGGAAAGAGGAUGGGAGUUUGGACCUUCUCGAGGGGCAGAAACACACAGAGGUCUUACCGCAGCCUUGGUGUGGAGUCUCUCAGUUAACUGAGCUCUUGAGCAAUGUCUUGUCUCUGACCAUUCCCAAAGUGGCUUCUUAAAACUGAAAAACCAACUGACUGACUUCCUUUCAAUGUAUCUGAUAGUUAAAAGAAAACACUCUGGCAAAUGACACUGCAUCUCAAGACAGGUUUUGAUCAGCUGGAGCAGCCAGUGCCCUUUGAAGUGUGCUGUACAUCACUGACUUGGCUGGCUGCAUCUGUCUGCUUCCAUCAAGUGUUCCUGCAAGGGAGCCGUCUGCUGGGAAGGGCAGCAUGGGGGAGAAAUGGAGUUACUGGAUAGCCGCUGAGUUUUCUCAGAGGGGGAACUCAAGAGCACUUCAAGUUUAGAAUACCAUCCAGCUGUGGUAAGCAAAGGACGGGUGAAAGUGCAUUUCUGAGCAAGACUUCUGCAAGAACUGACCUUCCAGCAAUAAAACAGCUUAAUCCUUCAACAGCUCCCAUGGGGCUUGGGUGCUCAUUCAAACUCAGCAAAGGAGGUUCAGGUCCAUGGAGAGCAGGUGCUACUGGCUCUCUUGGGCACUACUGUGGUGGGGAAUUGUCUCUCCACCCCUAGUGUGCAAAAGUGUUCCCACCUGAAUACAGCACUGCUCAGCUCAAGGACCAGAGCACAGAUUUCAGGCUUGGCUUCCAAAGAUUCUGCUCAGGGGAGGAGACUGAGACAAGUAUGGGAGAAGGAGAAACACUGCUGCUGAAAUGCUAUGGCAUUUUGACAAAAGCUAUGCGAGGAGAUUCCAGAAACUUGCUUUAUGGUUUAAAAAGAAAAAAAAAAAAGCAAGCCCCAUUUCCAUUAGCCUUUUAUUUCCUGCUAAUUAUUCAGUACUCUUUCCAGUUUGGAGCAUGAAGCACCAUGGCCGCUUCAUCUCCUGCCCACCCGGAAUGUGCUGCUGGCUUUGUAGGUUAUCUGGGGUGCGGUGCAGGAGGAAGGGGGAAAAGGAAUGAUGGAAUUUAUUAUUAAUUUUGGAAGGAGAUAUAAAAAGUAAGCAUUAAAGUCUAUCCUAAAUACAAGGAUUCAGCUGACUGAGAGCUCAUCUGCUUCUAUCUCUUGGCUAAUCGUGAAGGCACUUCUGCUGUGUCACUUCAAAGGCUCAGCACAGCUGGGAGGGUUUUCAUCAAAGCUUCUGCAUGUCUGGGGGAGGUUUUCCCCCCCAUGAAUAUACAUCACUGGAGGCUCAUUUUCCCAGCUUUUCCCAUGCCUGUCUCUGAUUGAUCCUCAUUUCAUUCAGAUGAGUUCUUUCUCUCUGGAUGGCUAAAGGGCAAGAGACAGCUCUCUCCAAAGCUUUCCCACUUGCCUGAUGCCUCUCUGAAGCUUUUCCUCCCAUCAGAGUGGGGGAGGGAGGGAGCUGUUCAGACAAGAGAUUGAGCCUUUAAAUUAAAUUCUUGUCAUCUGAGGGCUGGGCCUGAUAGCAGCGGGGGUGGGAAGCAUUUUCUCCCAGUAUCGAGACUCUGGCCAGAUCCUCAUCUGGUGUAAAUGUGUAUCAGUGAACCGACCUCAGCAGUCAUGUGAUCUGAACUAUGAGCCUUAAAACACUGCCCCUCUGUAGCAGCUGGGUGAAAUCAGUCAGCAUCAUCCCCUGUGCUCUGCAGAGUACGUGAGCUCCACAGCCAAGGAACACUUGCUGAAGUUGCUCAAUUCCACAUCUUUUUUCACUGGGGAGGGAGGGCUGGGCAGCCUGGUGGAAUUUCAAACACUCAGCCACCCUCAGCCAGGCUGGGAUUUCACAAUAGCCCAGGCCCUGGGUGCACCCAGCACGUGCAAAGUGCUGGUGGAAACGCGGCCCCUCUCCUAAGCUCAGAAGUAAGCUCUGCCCUCUUGGAAAUUCUGGGCCUGGUGCCAUGCAGUUACAGCACGUCUCCUGGCUGGUGGCCAGGCCAGGAAGCCCAAACCUCACCUUGGCUUUUCCACCCUCUACUCUCUCACUGUUUAUUCCCUGGGGCCAAAAUGACCCCAGAAAUCCACAGGUCAAGACAGCGCUGGAGCAACUGGAAGCACUCCCUUAUACCACUGAUAAAGGAACUCAAUUUGAGUGAUACCACAUUGCUGGUGAUGCUUUUUUAAAGAAAUAUUACUAAUGUCCUCUGCAGUGACCCAUGAAAAUGAGACAGUCUUAAAGGGCAUCCAUCUGGUCAGUCCUCUCUUGCUCCAGUGACAUCCACAGCAUAUGGGGACAUCCCAAGGGCAGCAGAGCAGCACGGUGAGCAUGGACCAUCCACCAGCAAGUGUUAUGAGCAGAGCCUGCCUGUGUCCUUACAAAAGGAAACAUCCUCUCUUAGCUCAGAGUCCUGCCAGCCUGGAGCUCUCUGACAGGGGGAUCCAACAAAGUCCCUAAGGACAUGUCACCCUCCUGGGGACUCUUCCAACACCGCAGUGUCUGUUGGCACCUCCAAAUCCUGUCCAUCACAUUCAGUUCCAGACUGCUAUCCUCCCCUUCACAGUAAGAACCCCUCUGGAGAGCCAUACAGAGCCCACUCAGUUGUGCUGCUCCUGCAUGGGACUGGGACGUUUCUUCCCCCAGACCAUGAUGGGAUUUUCUCGCAUCCAUCCCCUGAAUGGUUAAUUGGAUCUUGAAUAGUUUCUCACUUCUUUCACUGGGAUGUGUGGUUGCAUCUACUUUGACACAAGCCCUUUUCUAAACUGCAAGUUGGCAACAAUAAAAAGGAGAAGUCUUUAAUUAGUUAUCUGGCUAAUUAACUUUUACAGCAGCAUAUCGCUUUGGCAUCCAAAUACUACAAUGCAAAACACUGCAAGCAUUCAAACAAAUGCUGCCCUCCCUGCCAGGAAGUGCAGCUGCCGCCACGAGUGGCUGCAGGAGAACAGCAUCUCGCUGCCUCAGCCAGAGAGCAUGGAAAUCCACCUCUGGGCACCCUACACACCCCCUUCUGCAGCUAACUCACCUAAUGAUGAUGUCCACAUUAAAGACACCGUACAUACACAGCUUCCCAAUGUCACGUGCUCCCUUCCCAGCACGUGCAUUCAUUUCACCAUUGAGUGAAAUCCACCGAAGACAAAAUGUGUUUCCUGCUUCAAAGGGGAUUGUAGAGAUCCCUGCAUCCCCUGUCCUGAAAGGGGAAGAAGAGC